UACUGCAGUUUUUUCAAAAUACACUACAACAAAAACGGUCUAUAGCGACACUUUUAAAUAUAGGCACAUGUCAAAAAAGUGCUGCUAGCUAAAAUUACCGACACUUUUAAAAAGUGUUGCUAUAUGUGGGGUCACUAGGUAUAUAGUAACAGUUAAAGAGUGUCGCUAUAACCUAAAAGAGUGCUGCUAAUUUACCAAUACUUAUUUAAGCAUUUAGCAACCGCCGAAACUCUAUCUCGUUGGCUGCGGUGGCGGAGGAGGACGACAGGAAAGGCUCUUCGUCUAGAAUUUCAGUGGAUUGAGUGCAAAGAGAAGAAAAGAUGGUAAUUGAUUUUUCUUUUUUUUUCUUUUCUGUUUGUAAUCGGGCCAAAUGGACUGGGUGUGGUGGGUUGAGUAGAGUAAUCUUUUAUUUUUGGUUGGAUUGGGCUUUAUAUUUAGGCAUUAGUAGAUGUUUUUUUAAGUUUUAGCAUAAAUGGGACACUUACUCAAAAGUGUCCCAAACAUGUGUCCCUAUAACCUAAUUCUGUUGUUGUAAUACUACUUAAAGGACCAAUUUAUUUUCGCAUAAUUAUAAUUACACUGCAGUUGUAGUUAUAUAUAAAUAUAAAUUCAAUAUUCAGUUUAAUAUAUUUGAAUUUAACUAUUGUAGUUGAAAUUAAUUACACAAGAAGGCCCAAUUGUGAUAGUUAGAACUACGUUUAAAUUAACCACAGUUUUAACUGCAAUAAUAACUUUUAAUUAAUUUAUUUUUCCUACGUAGAAAACAAUUUCACUCUCUCAUAUAAAAACUAAUAAAAUUAUACAAAUUCAUUUUGCAACUGCAUGUAACCAAAUAGGUUAUUUAUAAUUAUAAUACUUUUUACUACACCCAACCAAUUUAUGAUCAACUAUAGAUUCUCUUAAAUGA
RNAcentral lists this long non-coding RNA (907 nucleotides) under Ananas comosus (pineapple). RNAcentral describes it as "long non-coding RNA (ACOM_LNC021822)". The record is from RNAcentral. Lineage: Eukaryota; Viridiplantae; Streptophyta; Magnoliopsida; Poales; Bromeliaceae.